GAUGAACGCUGGCGGCGUGCCUAAUACAUGCAAGUCGAGCGAACGGACGAGAAGCUUGCUUCUCUGAUGUUAGCGGCGGACGGGUGAGUAACACGUGGAUAACCUACCUAUAAGACUGGGAUAACUUCGGGAAACCGGAGCUAAUACCGGAUAAUAUUUUGAACCGCAUGGUUCAAAAGUGAAAGACGGUCCUGCUGUCACUUAUAGAUGGAUCCGCGCUGCAUUAGCUAGUUGGUAAGGUAACGGCUUACCAAGGCAACGAUGCAUAGCCGACCUGAGAGGGUGAUCGGCCACACUGGAACUGAGACACGGUCCAGACUCCUAAGGGAGGCAGCAGUAGGGAAUCUUCCGCAAUGGGCGAAAGCAUGACGGAGCAACGCCGCGUGAGUGAUGAAGGUCUUCGGAUCGUAAAACUCUGUUAUUAGGGAAGAACAUAUGUGUAAGUAACUGUGCACAUCUUGACGGUACCUAAUCAGAAAGCCACGGCUAACUACGUG
This 497-nucleotide ribosomal RNA is filed under the name uncultured bacterium. RNAcentral's name for it is "partial 16S ribosomal RNA". It matches the Rfam family "Bacterial small subunit ribosomal RNA", at positions 28 to 507 of the family's 1533-position model. The record is from RNAcentral.